GGCGAACGGGUGAGUAGCGCGUUGGUGACCUGCCCCGAAGAGAGGGAUAGCAGUUCGAAAGGACUGAUAAUACCUCAUGUGGUUAUUGGUUUUAGAAUCUGAUAACUAAACGGAUUUAUUCGCUUCGGGAGGGGCCUGCGUCCCAUCAGCUAGUUGGUAAGGUAAUGGCCUACCAAGGCGAUGACGGGUAGGGGACCUGAGAGGGUGGCCCCCCACAAUGGGACUGAAACACGGUCCAUACACCUACGGGUGGCAGCAGUAGGGAAUAUUGGUAAUGUGCGAAAGCGCGAACCAGCAACGCCGCGUGCACGAUGAAGGCCUUCGGGUUGUAAAGUGCUUUUAGAGAGGAUGAGGAAGGACAGUACUUUCUGAAUAAGCCUCGGCUAACUACGUGCCAGCAGCCGCGGUAAAACGUAGGAGGCUAGCGUUAUCCGGAUUUACUGGGCGUAAAGCGCGUGCAGGUGGUUUCGUAAGUUGGAUGUGAAAGCUCCUGGCUUAACUGGGAGAGGUCGUUCAAAACUGCGAGGCUUGAGAGUGGUAGAGGGAGGUGGAAUUCCGGGUGUAGUGGUGAAAUGCGUAGAUAUCCGGAGGAACACCAGUGGCGAAAGCGGCCUCCUGGACCAUUUCUGACACUCAGACGCGAAAGCUAAGGUAGCAAACGGGAUUAGAGACCCCGGUAGUCUUAGCUGUAAACGAUGUGAACUUGGCGUCGGUGGGUUUAAAUCCAUCGGUGCCGAAGCCAACGCGAUAAGUUCACCGCCUGGGGACUACGGCCGCAAGGUUAAAACUCAAAGGAAUUGA
RNAcentral lists this ribosomal RNA (801 nucleotides) under uncultured bacterium. Its description in RNAcentral is "bacterial SSU rRNA". It matches the Rfam family "Bacterial small subunit ribosomal RNA", at positions 97 to 913 of the family's 1533-position model. The record is from RNAcentral.